GACGUCACACAGCAUGUGGGUCAAACUCUGCGCUUUAAUUUGAAAGGUAUCGCGGAACAGGAAUCACUCACAUCUGGUCUACCUUGUCUUCGUCACAUUGACCCAGUUUCAUUCAAGAGCGCUCGCGCUGCUUGUCCGUUUGAAUUAGCGGCGCGCGCGCGGCUGCUCUGCCUCCGUCAGCGAGCGCACCUUGCCACUUGCCUCUCGUGCGCCUCACAAUGCUGGAAACCAAGUUUGCUUCCCCGCGAUGAAUCCGGCCAACGAGACCGAGAGAAGCGCGGACAGAUACCUGUUCGCGGCUGGAACCUACAAACUUCUGGCGGUCGCCAUCGGAACCAUCGGAGUGUUCGGGUUCUGCAACAACGUGGCGGUGAUUUUACUCUACUGCAGGUUCAAGAGGCUCCGCACGCCCACCAAUCUGCUGCUGGUCAACAUAAGUUUGAGUGAUUUUCUGGUGUCGGUCAUCGGGAUAAACUUCACGUUUGCGUCGUGCGUCAAAGGCAGGUGGAUCUGGAGCCAGGCGACAUGCGUCUGGGACGGAUUCAGCAACAGUCUGUUCGGCAUCGUCUCCAUCAUGACUCUGGCGGCUCUGGCUUAUGAGCGCUACAUCCGGGUGGUGCACGCCCAGGUGGUGGACUUUCCCUGGGCCUGGCGGGCCAUCGCCCACAUCUGGCUGUACUCGCUGGCCUGGACCGGGGCGCCUCUGCUGGGCUGGAACCGCUACACGUUAGAGAUCCACCAGCUGGGCUGCUCCCUGGACUGGGCGUCCAAAGACCCAAACGACGCCUCCUUCAUCCUCUUCUUCCUCUUUGCGUGUUUCUUCGUGCCCGUUGGCAUCAUGGUCUACUGCUAUGGCAACAUCCUUUAUACAGUGAGAAUGCUGCGUUCCCUCCAAGACCUGCAGACGGUCCAGAUUAUAAAGAUUUUGCGCUAUGAGAAGAAGGUGGCGGCCAUGUUCCUACUGAUGAUUUCCUGUUUCCUGGUGUGCUGGACGCCGUACGCCGUGGUUUCCAUGAUGGAGGCGUUCGGCAGGAAGGCCAUGGUCUCUCCCACCGUGGCCAUCAUCCCAUCCUUCUUCGCCAAGUCCAGCACGGCGUACAACCCCCUCAUCUACGUGUUCAUGAGUAGAAAGUUCCGGCGUUACUUCCUGCAGCUGCUCUGCUCCCGGCUCUUCCAUAAGAUCUCCUGGCUGCAGCAGAACCUCAAAGAGCGCCCGCUGACGCCCGCCGAGCGCCCCAUCCGCCCCAUCGUCGUCUCCAGCGCCUGCGACUCCAGGAACCGGCCCAAGAAGAGGGUCACCUUCAACUCCUCCUCCAUCGUCUUCAUCAUCACCAGCGACAACUUCCAGCAGUUCAACGUCACCUCCAAGGCCGUAGAUUCCUCGCGGGUGAACGUCGUCCAACCCCAGACUUUUUACAACCGACUGUAAAUACCCAACUACACCUGAACGAGUCGUAAAGGGGGGACAUCCUCAUUAGACAUCAGCUUGGUGAUAGUUAAGAGGACAGCGACGUUUGGGUCAGCUUGUGAUUUAUGGUGAUACAUUUUGGUUGGUACCCAACUGCAAGUGUGUAAAGAAGAUAAAAAAUAAAGCUUUAGUUUCUUAACCAUAAAUACGUAUUACUGUAUGAAUUCAGGAAAGAGACUCUAUUUUAAGCCAGCAGGUUUGUGUUCUUCAUCUCAUUAUCCAGUGCGAUGAGAUCCGACAUUGUGAAGUGGCAUUUGGUGAGAAAAUGUGUGUGGAUUGCAGGAGUGUAAUUAGCCAAAAGGAGAUGAGAUCAGGGUGGGACACUGCGCUCAUAACCUCCUGGGUGUCAGCUAUAAAUAGACAUAAUGAAUGGAUCUCCAUGUCUAAUAAAAUCCCUUUUCA
Gambusia affinis (western mosquitofish) is the source of this 1870-nucleotide RNA transcript. It is a transcript of the gene named opsin 3, with no coding region annotated. Lineage: Eukaryota; Metazoa; Chordata; Actinopteri; Cyprinodontiformes; Poeciliidae. The record is from RefSeq and is a predicted model, not a curated record. The transcript has 6 exons.